Biomphalaria glabrata is the source of this 1078-nucleotide long non-coding RNA. RefSeq lists it as uncharacterized. Lineage: Eukaryota; Metazoa; Mollusca; Gastropoda; Planorbidae. The transcript has 2 exons. The record is from RefSeq and is a predicted model, not a curated record.
CUCUUUUUUAUGCUGUUUAAUUUGGUAUAUAAUGUGGUGUAGUCCGUGUCUUUAGUAAUUUUCUAGAUUUUAUUAUAGCGUACGGCUAGGUACAAAUUAGGGAAAUCAGUAGUCCAGUUUAGUUUUAGGUAAUUAGCGUGACGUCAUGCUCUCCGAUAUGUUCGCGCUGACCAGUUAUAGCUAGCUCCGGAACCACGUUGAGCCCUCUUUUGUCUUGACCAGUGGUCAGUGCUGACAGUAUUGCCUGUGUAAAGUUAAUUGUGUGUAGUGUAAUUUCAGCUGGGACCGCCUGUAAGUUGGAAAAUGUUUUUAUUUUUACUUCUUUAGUUUAUAUUUGUAUUAGUUAUUCCUACAUCUACUGUUAUAGUCUAGAUGUAGACUGAUUAGUAGUGAUUAGUAGAGUGACAUCACUGGCUAGUUAAUUAGCCAUGAUUACCUCUGAUAGAACCGGAUGUUCCGUAAACUUGAGUAGCGUCACCCCCUUGCGUCAUCCUUAAUGAUCCCCUUAUUGUUUGUCCAUGUGUAAAUCUUUUAUGUCCCCUAUGUAUUUUUAUUAAUAUCUUAUUGCUAGGAUAACCACUCCAUUAAGUUAGCAUGUUGCCGAUUUUAAUUUUUAAUGUAGAAGAUGGCUGCGUCCUACUCAAGGCUCCAUGAUGGCGGCUUUGUUAAGACAAAUCUAGAUUUGUUAUUGUUGUCUAGCCCAACUGGUGUUGUGGCAUAGACAUUAACUUUUACUCCGGCUAUAAUUCCUGUCGUUACGUCUACUGCCUAACUGUGCGGUAGUACUGUCAUUAUUUCCACUGCCUAGCUGCCUUUAUUAGUAUAUUAUUGCCACAGUUAAGCUGUCUGCUGUACUGUUGUGUUUAGUGUUGGUAUUUUUAGGUGUAAUCUAGUAAAGAUAGUUAGACAUUUGGGUUUCUUAUUAGUGUUGGUAGUGGUAAAGUCUGGUUGAUUAGUUGCUUAUUUCUAAGUUUAUUUAGUUGUUUCUGUAAAGUUUAUCUUUUUUUGUAUUCAUCUAUAUUUUUAUUGCUUUGUAAGUUUGUUGUGAAUAAAGUGUAUUUAUAUUUUGUUUUAUAAA